Molecule: non-coding RNA, 103 nt
Organism: Ceratotherium simum simum (southern white rhinoceros)
Lineage: Eukaryota; Metazoa; Chordata; Mammalia; Perissodactyla; Rhinocerotidae
Source: RefSeq, a predicted model, not a curated record
GUCACUUACCUAAGGUCUGUGAAGAAUGGUGCCAAGACAGGGGUGGACGUCCUCUGCACCUACUGGCAGCCCCCCAGCAGCCUGGGUGUGCCUGCCAAGCUGG